GUAUUGUGGUUCGAUUAUCGCUCCCUCGCUAUAUUGCGUAUUUUUUCAUAAAUUAGUUAAUACAUGAUCGCUGUUUUGUGGUAGACUAUGGUCUAUUACAAGUCAAAACAUAUGGAAAUACAAGUGAAAUACAAGUAUUCUGGUCACUAGGCGGCUGUAAUGUCACAUUACAUUACUUCACUUUGCACUCGAUGUAGCCAGCCGUGGGUGCAGAGUGAAAAAAGGUUCUCCUCCCAUUCCAUGUGGAAGUGGAACACAGGUGUACUUUGUUGUGUUCGUGUCGUGCCGGUUUAUAUCGAUUAUCCCUGCAGGACGGGCUAACUACUUUUCUACAUAGCAACUGAGGUAUGGAAAGUUCCAUGCAUCCAUCUGCUGGAAAUGCUGCCUGAUGUGUGCAGGCUAACGCCGGCUGACAUCAGACAGAAAGCGAGUUUUGGAGAAGACAUAAAGUACAGCAAUAUGCCGCUCUGUUUCCUAUCUGAAUUUCGUCAAGAGGUAUGUACAGUAUAUUUCCACCUUAGCAGCCUUUACCUCAUAUAGUCGUUUCUCCAUUGUACAACAUUGUGUAUCACGACAGAGGCGAUAAUAGGACUAGCUGGAUUUUACAGACUUUGUCAUUUCUACAUAUGUCAAAUGUAUUAAUCCCAAUAAAAUCAGAGCUACUACGUGAGUGGAGGUGGUGGAGGAAACAGGGCAGAUGAAUUUUGGGGGAUCCCACGCACUGGGAAUAACCGAAGGAGAUGAUAAAUGCACUCAUAGUGGCACGCACACAUAAACACAUAGUUCGCAGGGGUCCUGGGAGGUUGGCUGUAGAACAGACCACAACACACGCACUAUGCAGAGGAGUAGGAGGAGGCCUCGACGACUUGAAAGA
Molecule: long non-coding RNA, 874 nt
Organism: Dunckerocampus dactyliophorus (ringed pipefish)
Lineage: Eukaryota; Metazoa; Chordata; Actinopteri; Syngnathiformes; Syngnathidae
Exons: 4
Source: RefSeq, a predicted model, not a curated record